UACGUAGGCAGCAAGCGUUGUUCGGAGUUACUGGGCGUAAAGAGUGCGUAGGCGGUUUCGUAAGUUUGGUGUGAAAUCUCCCGGCUUAACUGGGAGGGUGCGCCGAAAACUGCGGGGCUGGAGUAUGGGAGAGGUAAGCGGAAUUCCUGGUGUAGCGGUGAAAUGCGUAGAUAUCAGGAGGAACACCGGCGGUGUAGACGGCUUACUGGACCAUGACUGACGCUGAGGCACGAAAGCGUGGGGAGCAAACAGG
Molecule: ribosomal RNA, 253 nt
Filed under: uncultured bacterium
Lineage: Bacteria
Description: partial 16S ribosomal RNA
Rfam family: Bacterial small subunit ribosomal RNA
Source: RNAcentral